UACGUGAAACCGUUCAGGGGUAAACGGGAGAAAUCCUGAAUUCGAAGGGGAUUGGAUUCAGUUCUGACCGGUUGUUCAGGCCACCUGGCCCCACCAGAUGGCGCUGGUCGCCCACGGCGAUUCAUUUCGCUUGUGGUGUCGUUCCCGGCGAUCACUCGGUGGGGUGGUGCUUGCUCUGGCACCGGAGGAGUGCACUUCCUCCCUUGUAGAAACGUCGCGACCCGUUGGGUGCCGGUCAAAGGCCCGGGAAGGCAGACCACGUGUCCUGUGGGGUUGACUCACAGGCGUGUGGACUCCCGGUGACCCGGCCGGCUGCUCGACGGUAUGACCAGAGGAGUCGAUCCGCUGAAUGGGAAACACAAUGGUUGUGUAGCGUCCGGCCCGACGCCGACACGAGUGGGAUUUUGGUGUAAACCAGUGGCGACCGUGCGGAUGCACGGUGCUGGUUCCACUUCGUCGUUGGAUCUGUUGGUGUCCUCGGACUGGAUCAGUACUCCCGUCGGCGACGCCCACCUUCGGAUGG
RNAcentral lists this ribosomal RNA (523 nucleotides) under Pachymorpha sp. TRB-2009. RNAcentral's name for it is "eukaryotic LSU rRNA". The record is from RNAcentral. Lineage: Eukaryota; Metazoa; Arthropoda; Insecta; Phasmatodea; Diapheromeridae.